Molecule: ribosomal RNA, 651 nt
Filed under: uncultured bacterium
Lineage: Bacteria
Description: bacterial SSU rRNA
Rfam family: Bacterial small subunit ribosomal RNA (bases 1-547)
Source: RNAcentral
CCUACGGGAGGCAGCAGUGGGGAAUUUUGGACAAUGGGCGAAAGCCUGAUCCAGCAAUGCCGCGUGAGUGAAGAAGGCCUUCGGGUUGUAAAGCUCUUUUGUCAGGGAAGAAACGGUGGGAGCUAAUAUCUCCUGCUAAUGACGGUACCUGAAGAAUAAGCACCGGCUAACUACGUGCCAGCAGCCGCGGUAAUACGUAGGGUGCAAGCGUUAAUCGGAAUUACUGGGCGUAAAGCGUGCGCAGGCGGUUUUGUAAGUCUGAUGUGAAAUCCCCGGGCUCAACCUGGGAAUUGCAUUGGAGACUGCAAGGCUAGAAUCUGGCAGAGGGGGGUAGAAUUCCACGUGUAGCAGUGAAAUGCGUAGAUAUGUGGAGGAACACCGAUGGCGAAGGCAGCCCCCUGGGUCAAAGAUUGACGCUCAUGCACGAAAGCGUGGGGAGCAAACAGGAUUAGAUACCCUGGUAGUCCACGCCCUAAAACGAUGUCUACUAGUUGUCGGGUCUUAAAUUGACCUUGGUAACGCAGCUAAACGCGUGAAGUAGACCGCCUUGGGGGUAGGUAGGUUCGCGAGAAGUUAAAACUUAACAAAUUAGAAGUUAGUUACGGCGNGAGACGAGCCGACGGACGACGACCGAACGGGGAAGGAGGGAGG